This 373-nucleotide unclassified non-coding RNA is filed under the name uncultured Sphingomonadaceae bacterium. RNAcentral's name for it is "contains 16S-23S intergenic spacer region". The record is from RNAcentral. Lineage: Bacteria; Pseudomonadati; Pseudomonadota; Alphaproteobacteria; Sphingomonadales; Sphingomonadaceae.
UCCCCGUUCUCCUGGGCAGUCCCCUUAGAGUUCCCAACUGAAUGCUGGCAACUAAGGGCAAGGGUUGCGCUCGUUGCGGGACUUAACCCAACGUCUCACGACACGAGCUGACGACAGCCAUGCAGCACCUGUCACCGACCAAUUGAAGAGCUCCGUCUCCGGAGCCCCGAUCGGGAAGUCAAGGGCUGGUAAGGUUCUGCGCGUUGCUUCGAAUUAAACCACAUGCUCCACCGCUUGUGCAGGCCCCCGUCAAUUUCUUUGAGUUUUAACCUUGCGGCCGUACUCCCCAGGCGGAUAACUUAAUGCGUUAGCUGCGCCACCGAAAGCCUAAGGCCCCCGACAGCUAGUUAUCAUCGUUUACGGCGUGGACUAC